CAAUACUAAUGACAGAGAAAGCCUGGUGGAAUCACCUACCAGGAAGGCAGUGGUCCAGCUUUGGGUGUGUCUGCCUGAACUUCUGUGCACAAGAAACUUUCAUUUCAAUGCUGAAAUGUGGGAUGAGAAAACAGAUGAGCUGAUGAGUAACUUGAUUGGUCUACACCAGCACUUUUCCACCAGGGGCAAUUCCCCUCUCCUGCCAUUCAGCAAUGUCUGGAAACAUCUUUAAUUCAUAUGACCUGUGAUGAUAGGUAAUUAUAAAGCCAAAGGAUGCUGGUAAGUACCCUACAAAAUAUUGAAUGGCCUGGAAAUAAGGACCAAUUCAUCCAGAAUAUCACUAGUGCUGCUAUUAAGAAGCCUUGAUUGACAUCGUUCAGCAUAUAGCGUUCUUCUGGAAGCUGUUAUUGAAUCAUUGGUGAACACAUGACUUACUCUGGCCCAAUCAGACUAAAGGAGAAGGUUUUGGGGAGAUGCUACAUUCACUCAUUUCUCUCCUGCUGGGUGUGAGCAAGGAGCAGCAGCCUGAUAUCCAGGGGCAGCCGUCUUUAUAUUGAGAAUAUCCAACCUUCCCACAAAGGACAGCAGAAUGGAAGGGCUGGAAUAACCCCUGUGCUUAAUGAGGUUACUGAGCAGCAUUGAACCCUAUCUCUCCUGGAACCCAAACCAUUUCUAGACUUUUAGUUAUCUGAAGCAAUGCAUUCAUAUUGUUUAAGCCCGAGUGAGUGAGUGUUAUCUGUUUCAGGCAGCUAAGUGUCUACCCAGCACAGUUGGGGAAUUAUAGGCAACAUCCAGGAAAAUUCAGCAAAGACUCUUUCACGUUGUCAGAUCCCUCAUCAGAAAUUCAUGCUUCUCCCUUCUGGCUGAACUUUGUCUUCAGAGGAGAUUUGGAGACACCAUCUUUAGCUUGUUCUCCUUCCGAAGGAACAUACACUAAGUAGGGACUUCGUGGGCUCCGUCGACAAGCAGUUCGAGUCCAAUGCCAUGGGCCAGGGAAGAAGGAGAAGGACAAAGAGGGAAACUGCCAUCUAGGUGGAAACAAAGAAUACUAUAUACAUGGAGAAAUCCGAGGAAGAUGAGCUGUGGGAC
Phacochoerus africanus (Common warthog) is the source of this 1089-nucleotide long non-coding RNA. RefSeq lists it as uncharacterized. Lineage: Eukaryota; Metazoa; Chordata; Mammalia; Artiodactyla; Suidae. The record is from RefSeq and is a predicted model, not a curated record. The transcript has 3 exons.